GGGAACUCAAAGGAGACUCCCGGUGAUAAACCGGAGGAAGGUGGGGAUGACGUCAAGUCAUCAUGCCCUUACGAGUAGGGCUACACACGUGCUACAAUGGCAUAUACAAAGAGAAGCGAACUCGCGAGCCCAACCCCCACCUCAUAAAGUAUGUCGUAGUCCGGAUAGGAGUAUGCAAGGGGACUCCAGAAGUCGGAAUCGCUAAUAAUCGUAGAUCAGAAUGCUACGGGAAUACGUUCCCGGGCCCCCCUCUCACCACCCGUCACCCAGGGAGUACCGAGCCACUUCCCGGCCUUUUUUCCCCAUC
This 307-nucleotide ribosomal RNA is filed under the name Rahnella sp. SS32. RNAcentral's name for it is "partial 16S ribosomal RNA". It matches the Rfam family "Bacterial small subunit ribosomal RNA", at positions 1133 to 1443 of the family's 1533-position model. Lineage: Bacteria; Pseudomonadati; Pseudomonadota; Gammaproteobacteria; Enterobacterales; Yersiniaceae. The record is from RNAcentral.